Long non-coding RNA from Pseudoliparis swirei, 2879 nucleotides. RefSeq lists it as uncharacterized. The transcript has 7 exons. The record is from RefSeq and is a predicted model, not a curated record. Lineage: Eukaryota; Metazoa; Chordata; Actinopteri; Perciformes; Liparidae.
GGACGGCUUCUCAUUGUCUGAUGAAACGUGAAUCUUCGGGCGUAGAAAUGUGCACCCUGGCCAAGGACAUCGUUUCUUAUUUCACGUGAUUGGACUAUUCGGGCAAUCGGAGACCCGUAUCGUUCCCUCACAGCCAGAGAGCUCCACGUAGCUACGCGAGCAAGUAGCUGACCGGAGCUGGUUAGCUGGAUGCUAGAUUACUCGGUGUCCACAGUGCCAAUGCAAGAGGGCCAACCUCAAAGAGAAAAAAGAGUACCAGCCGAUAGAGGUAAAGGAAUUGUAUAUUGUCAACUUUCAAACACCUGAAGGAUUUUCUAAUGCCUGAGUGUUUAUUUCUUUCUUCCAGGUAACAGAACCGUUUGAAUUGGUUGGUUUGGACCUAGUGGGAAAACUCACAGAAACAGAUGGUGGCAACCAGUACAUAUGUGUCAUGGUUGAUUAUUUCACCAAAUGGUCUGAGGCAUACCCACUUAAAAGAAAAACAGCAGAUGAGGUGACCAGUUGUAUUCUUGAUUUCUUUUACAAAUUUGGUGCACCCAAAAGACUGCUAACAGACCAGGGCACUGAGUUUCGCAAUAAGGUACAAUGAUGAUGCAUUAUGAAUCCCCAAUAUGUCAGCUCACUGCUGUCCAUACCAAUUUCAUGUUUAACCGAAUGAGAAUUUCCACGUCAACUCUGGCCUGUGUGAGAGGCUGGGCAUCGAGCGAAGCCUGUGCUCCCUCUAUCAUCCACAGACCAACGGCCACGUGGAGAGACUAAAUGGCACAAUACAGAGGUCCCUGAACAAACUGGUGGCAGAGAACCCCACCCGUUGGGACAAAGUCCUGCCAGCGACUAUGUUCGCGCUUCGGACAAAGAAGCAACUUACCACCAAGUACACACCAUACUAUUUGAUGUUUGGGAGGGAGGCGCGGUAUCCGUCGGAGAUACCAGCAGAGUACAAUGUAAGAUUCUGUAUUAUUCUUAUCCUUUUUUAGAUCUUGAAUUUGGAUUAUCGAUUUGCACAACAUUGAAAAUGUGGUUUGUGGCAGGUCACAGAAGAUAAAGUCUGCGGCCUGGUGCAGACGGAGGCAAUGGCAGACGGACUGAGAAAUCAAAAGGCUGUUUUUGAAGACGUUUUACAAAACAUUAAAAUAAGCCAGGAUAGAGUCAGUAAACGAAAAUCACUAAUUGGCCAGGAGGACCAUUUUUAAAGUGGGGGAUCGGGUGCUCCACAAAAAUAUUAAACAGGAGCAGAGGAAAGGGGGCAAGAUGGAGAGCACUAUGUUGGGCCCCUUUGUAAUUGUGAAACUAGAGGGCAAAAAAGCUGUGCUGGCCACACAAAAGGGGAAGAGGGUUACACAAUCCAACAUCGAUUUAUGAACUCAUUAUUUCCAGCCAGAGGAGAGGAUCCCAGCUAAACUGAAAAGAGAGUUUCGGAUCCUUCUCCUCUGGCUGGUCCAUCCAAGACACAGUCACAGACACACACAGACACAGACACACACCGACACACAGAAACAAACACAGACACACACACAGCCACAGAAACAGACACAAACAGACACAGAAACAAACACAGACAGAGACGCACAGACACACACACACCAUCAUCAAAGACAUCUGGACAGGGAGAAAGAGGAAAAAUAUUAUUUGGUCAAAGAUUGGGCCGUACAAAAAAAUUUCAGAAAAUCUCAUGGUCCUGGCCCCUGGACAUCUGGUGGAGGGAGAGAUUAUCAAUGCAUAUCUGAACAUGGUGGGAAGGGAGGCAAACGCCACCAUCAUCGAUACAUAUGUAAUGACGGCCCUCUGGGAGGGAUCUAAAACCUCACUUUUAAGAAGUGAGUAUACAGCUUGAUUUUUGUAUGUGUGUAUCUAUAUAUAUAUAUUUGUGUGUUGUUUUUUGUUGGAUCUUACAAAGACAAAUGUGGCGGCUGGAGCUGUGUGUAGUCGGGGACACUGGACACUCAUUAUCAUAUAUCUUCAGGAGAAGAGGGCCCUCUAUGUGGACCCAUUCGGUGCCACACAAGACCACAUUAAUAAAUGCAGGGAUAUAACCAGAGCACUGGUCCGAAGAAAAUUUCCAGCGAUUGGCAGAUGGACAUGUGCCACAAUCCCCCAUCCCAAGCAGCAGGACGGCACAUCGUGCAGUGUUUUUGUUUGCAAAGUAACAGUGUGAUUCUCUCUAAAGACAUCUGUAAUUUCAAAAGAAGGAAUCAGACUUCAACUAAUACAGACUUUUUAGCUGGCAGAGCAGAUAUUAAAAAAAGAAGAUGUCCAGUUCCCUGUGGACGAUGAGGGAGUGGGCAGGAUGAGGCUUGACAUCGCCACGCAACUCCUACUGAAUUCAGAUGACCUAUCUGAGGUGUGUCGGGCUUGCGGGGAGGUCAGCUCUGGGGCUGAGGUUGACGAGUGGGUAAGAAAAAAUAUUUAUAUUCGGACCAACAACAUUUGGCUGGAAGACUGGGAUGCACCUUGCCCCUACAUCACCUGGUGAACACUCACAAUCUCACAGCUACUGAAAAUGUAUGGCACGUCACCUAACUUGCAUGUUUUUGCACUUUCGGAGGACACUGAAGUAGCUGAAGUAACACAAACGGCACAGUUUCCGAUUUACACCCAGUAUCAAAGAUGCAUUCAGUUAUAAUGAAGGAAUGCCUAAUGAAUUUGUAAAUGGUCCCUUUUUAAUAUCCUAUUCUGGAAGAGUUUCUUAAACCAGACCAAAUAUAAGAACAUACUUAAAAGGUUUUGUCCAUUUUCAGAUCGAGUGCACAAGAUGCCAACUCUGGUUCCACAUGGAAUGCGUGGGACAUCCCCCUGCAGACCGGGACUAUCUCUGUUCUUCAUGGACACACUGAUGGAAAAUGGGUCCCACUCCGGCCCAUCAUUGAAAAAAGAAUAAA